RNAcentral lists this long non-coding RNA (3042 nucleotides) under Sus scrofa (pig). RNAcentral describes it as "lncRNA (ENSSSCG00060051781.1)". The record is from RNAcentral. Lineage: Eukaryota; Metazoa; Chordata; Mammalia; Artiodactyla; Suidae.
UUUUUUUUUUUUUUUUUUUUUUGGUCUUUUUAGGGUCUCACUGUUGGCAUACGGAGGUUUCUAGGCUAGGAAUCCAGUCGGAGCUAUAGCUGCCAGCCUACGCCACAGCCACAGCAAUGCCAGAUCCGAGCCUCGUCUGUGACCUACACCAUAGCUCACGGCCACGCCGGAUCCUUAACCCACUGAGCGAGGCCAGGGAUUGAACCUGCAACCUCAUGGUUCCUAGUCGGAGUAGUUUCUGCUGCGCCACAGUGGGAACGCCCCUUUUUUCUUUGUUUUUUAAAUUCUGUCUUGGAAUCAUUAUUGCAUGGUUUUUGUGUGUGCUUUGUCUCCCUUCAUGCUUGUAGAGGUGCUGUGAGAUAGCGUUGUAUAGAAGCAGCGGUGCAUGGCUGUUGCUCUGCGUAGAUGGAGGCCGGGCAAGACCUGUGUGCUCUCUGUUCCACAAUGGCUGCUUCCUGCCUGCCUGUCCCGGGGCAGAGUGGGGGGUGUGUGUGUGGGUAAGUGGGUGCUCUGUGAUCUGGAGGAGGCAGAGAUAAGGGAAAGGGACAAUGGAGAAUAAGAAGCUUGGGGCUCUGAGGAGCUGCGGCCUAGGACGGGUGCGCUGCGGCAGGUGGCUGAGGUCUGGCCUUGAGUGAACUUUUUGCAUCGGAACAAAUAUAUUUGGUCAACUAAGCCCUAGUUCUGCCUUUAAUUCUUGAAUUAGAGGUCAGGCAUUCAUUUUUAAUAGUGUAUGGAAAUUCUGAUAAUGGGAAUAGAUUUCUUUCCUUUUAGUUUUCAAGAAGGAACUGAAAAACUGGAUUACACCCUGAUACUUCUGUAGGGUUGUACAAAAUAAGACAGAAUCUGGAUUCAUUUUGUGAUGGUGACUUUACCGAGGUAGAUAUUAUUAUUCUCCAUCAGAAUAUCUAGAAAUACUCUUCCAUUCUCAUUUUUGUCCUCUUAAACUGCUGGAGUGUGCAGAUAAGACAUUUCACAGGAUUGAGAUUUCCUUUGCUCACUUUGCUAAGCCCUGUGUUCUCUGGCUCUUGCAUGCCUGAUUUUUGCUGAUUGCAGGGUCUUAAUAAUGUUUUAAAUUUUCUUCUUUGUCCAAGGGUAUAACUUUACUGUGGAGGGCAAAAUCAUGAUUCUCCAUGGUCUAGGGCUUUUAGGCACUUCUAAACUCCUAAUUUUCAUUUAUGUGGCUUAGUUUCUCCAUUAGACCAUACCAUUAGGGAGUUGUCAUACAGGAGAAAAAGGCGGCUUGACCUUACGGCAGAAACAUCUAAAUGUUUGACAGAUAAAUUUUUUUGGAAAGAAAGUGUGUUUUAGAUAGAGCAUCUAAGCUUUCAGUGCAUUGUAGGGAGAAAGUCCUCUUGAGGCUUCACCCAGUGGUACCAAAGCUGAGACCUCAUGGAGGGUGGCUCUAGGCUCAGUGAAGAGUAGAUUAGAUAAUUGCUUUUGCCCAGUCAACUCAGGCUUUUUUCUGUCUUUGAAUAAAAUAAGCACCAUUCCCUGACUGCUCUAGGAACCAAAUAAAACUUUCAAAAGAGCUGGUUUAGUAGAAAUAAUGUUUACUUUUCAUAGAUUUGUGUGUAUGUUUUUUAAAAAUUCAGUAAAUGGACACAAGACCGUUUGCUAAAAAGCUUGUAUCCAGAAAGGUGAUUUAGAAUUUUUUGUUCAUUUAUCAAAUACCUGAGUACCUCCCCUGUGUCCUGUGUUCUCACCAGACUCUAUGGGAGACUUGCAGAUGCAUCAUCGGAUGUUGACCCUGGUGACGUGGAGCUUGUCCCUCAGUGGGGAGGCAGAUGCUUGGGGCAGGAGGUCAGGUGCGAUCCAGUGUGGAGGAGAGAGCAGUGACCUCUCUCUGAAGGGGAGGGAAUUAGACAGGGUUGCAUGGAGAAGGAGGCAUUCGAUCUGAAUAUUGAAGUAAAGUCGUUUGGUGGGAAAUGAGCUUUUUCCGUAGGUUUUCUAGCACAGGAGUUACGUGGUUACAGUUGUGCUUUAAGAAAACUAUUUCUGGGAUGUGAUCAAAGAUAGAGACCAGAGACUGAGAGGAACCAAUGCAAAACUAACCUUUCUAAGUGGUAGUGGAAACAGAGGUAGAGUUCAUUGAACUUGGCAGUUGGAGCAAUGCAUGGUAUCAAAUGAGGUUUUGUUUUUUUUUUUUUAAGCCUCAAUAGGUAAUUAGGAGUAUGGCAAUGCCAUUAAAAUUUGGAAACACAGGAGGAGAAACUGAUUAGUAAGAAGAGAGUAGUAAAUAUAAUCUGCCAUUGAGAAAUUGGGUGAUUUUUUUUGUUGUCGUUAGGCCAAUGGGAAUAUUUAAAUAGACCUGGGAAGAAGCCAGGGUUGAAGAUAGGGAUAUUGAGAGUUGGGGCAGUUGGAGCCUUGAGAUGGAAUGAAAUUGCCAAAGUAUUUAGUAUCAAAUGUAUCUUUACCAAGAAUGUCACGUUGCAAAACCUGAAAAUCCUCUAGUUUUAGGACAGGAGUGCUCCAGAAGAGAGAGAGUAUUGUUUAAAGAACUCAAAUCAUUCUUUGAGCUUUUAUUUCUCUCUGGAAUUCUUUCAGUUUGACUCUCAUCUUGGGGAGAUAGUAAAAGCUAGUAGCUUUAAGCGUGCAAACGGAAAGAUAGGGUUUGAAUCCUUGUUCUGCCACCUACCUGCCAUGUAUCCUUGUCAGAGCUAUAGAUCUUCUUGUGCUUCAGUUUAUUCAUCUCUAAGAUGAAGGUGAUAAUGUGUACCUUAUAGGGUUGUUUCUGGAUUAUCCCAUCAUUUAGCCUGCUGCUUGGAGCAUACUAGGUGCUCCAUAAAUGGUAGCUAAUGUUAAUACUAGAUUCUUGCUGAUUCCCCUGCUUCUGAUCUUAAAGGGUACACUACUCCUUUUAACUCUGAAUUUGUACAGGCUUCCCCCUCCCAUUUUUUUCCACUCAGUACAGACAGACAGACAGACAGACAGACAGACAGACAGACACACACACACACACACACACACACACGGAGUUCCCUGGUGGCUCGGGUUAAGGAUCUGGCGUUGUCACUGCUGUGACUCAGGUUGCUGUUAUGGUGC